RNAcentral lists this long non-coding RNA (3477 nucleotides) under Sus scrofa (pig). Its description in RNAcentral is "lncRNA (ENSSSCG00000063149.1)". The record is from RNAcentral. Lineage: Eukaryota; Metazoa; Chordata; Mammalia; Artiodactyla; Suidae.
UUAAGCCCAUCAUGAACUAAUGCCUUUUAGUGGUUCACCCCUUGUAUCAUGAUCUUCCAAAAUAGUUGCGGGAAGGGGAGGGAAAGCAUUAAAUGUCAGUAGUUACAGCAAGACAGUGUCUGCGAAGAGGCCAAAGAGGCUGUCUCUGGUUUCACGUUCCCGCGGCCCCAGCGGAGAUCGAAAUGUGCAGGGUUUGCAUUGAAAUGAGAAUGGGGUCACCUCCCCUUUGUAGUCAUCAUCAAGGAAGCAGAACUUCCUUCCAGAGAGAGCAUAGGAAAUCAAUGCUCACACUUUGCCUGUGGAGAGGUGAAUGUGGAUGGCAGACGGCAUGAAAUAAAAGGGCAGCAGAAAAGUGAUUUACUCUAGACGGCGGUGUGACUUUUGGGUGCCUUCAAAGGAGUCACGUUUUUGACAUCAUCAUUAUAUUAAAAUCUUUCUCUUUUUUGAGAGUAUAUGUUUUUGAUUUCUUAGGAAAAGACAAAAAGAAAGGAGGAACUGCCAUUAGGUGGUGUGGUCCUCUUUGCCCUCAAAGGAGAAUUAUUUAAGGAAGGCAGAGUGUCUGGGAUACGGACCUACCUCUCCCCUCGUUUUAUUAUUACUGUUGUUGUUAAUAAGAAUAGACCUGAUUUGCGAAAGUCACUGGGUUUUUGCCUGUUUGUCCAGGUAUUCUGUGACACAGAGGGCAGACUUGCCAUGGGGGGAGCCAAGGGGGUGCUGCGGUGGGGGUGCGUGUCUGGGCGAGGCAUAGGGAAGGGGGGUGGUUGCUGAGGACCACAGUGUGGGCGUGGAUGCCUGAGGAAAUAUGCCAAAGCAGGUGUGCAGUUGGAACAGGCACUGCCCCUCUUCAGCGUGCACCUCUGAUUGAUUUGGGAACACGUCUUCUGUGGAUUUGAAAUACUGAACUGCAGGUAAUAGCGAUGGGGCAAGGAACUGUGGCUGGCUUGGCUUGUAUCUGGGAGAAGACAAAACAGCCAUGUAAUCUCCCGCCUGAGAGCAGAUUAGCAAGUGUGUUAGUUGUGUAACAGCGAAACAAAACAAGCAAAAAACAAAACAAAACAAGAAAACAAACAAAAAAACCCCCAAAAGUCAAAAAACCACAAAGAAAAAGAAAGAAAGCUCUGCUCAACGCCCCCUACCACAUUUUUGCUCCCAUUUAUUAUUUCUAGUAGCCAUUCAGUCCCUAAAGUUAACAAUGAAUGAUUAUGAUUCUGGAGUUUCGUUUACAGCAUAAAUUAGCAUUUUGUUUUCUGUUACAGCUUUUGAAUGAGGAAUUAUAAUGUAUAAUUUGCUGAAAAUAGAUGUUAUCAUCUCUUAGGAUGAGAACAACCACAUAAACUUGAACAAAUGAUAAAAAUGGAAUCAAUUACAUUUCAAAUGGAAGUAGUUUACAAACCUCCAAAUACAAAGUGGCAGUCGUAGCUGGUUAUUGUAACAAAUAAUUAGUUUUUUUAAACAACAUUUAUUGAAUUCCAUUGACGAUUUGGUAAUUGUUCACAGUUGACUGUAGCCCUCCCUCUUCCAAAAUGAAAUGUGGCGUGGAAUGACUGCAUUUUAGAAACUGCAGUUUGCCUCAUUAUUUCGCGUUGCAACCACAAUGUAUAUUUGUUGGCAGAUGUAACCCUUUCUGAGUAAGAAGAAAACAUCAAAUCGAGGCCGCCAAGCCUGAUUGGUGGCUUGAGAUAAAUCCCCAAGGGCUCAUAAGUGAGGGUUUUGAGGUUCUAAAGAAACAAAAAAAGCAUAGAGUCAAAAUGGAUGUGUGCGAGUGUGUGUUGACGGGGGCGGGGGGGGACAUUUUAAAUGAUUUGUCAAAUAGACGUAUCAUAGGUUUACAUCAGCAAGAAUUAAUUUCCCUGUCACCGUCCUUCCCAUAAUCCUUUCUGCCCUGUCUUGUCAUCGUUGAUGUGGGGGUCCUCCCCCAUUUGGGAAGUUCUUUGUGGGAAGGCACCCUACAGUCUUCAGUUCAAAAUCCCCCAUGGUACCUGGCCUGUAGCAGACAAAACAGAUGUGUUGGACAAGGGCUGAAAUUUCAGAAAACAACUUUUGCACCAUGAUAAGUUCCCCUUUCUUUAUGGUUCUUCGCUCCAUCUCUUAGGAUGAUGAGGACAAUUCUGCAGUAUCAUUUUUGAACACGGGAUUUUGACUUGGCGAGUCAAGGAAUCCUGCCUUCAUUUAUGCAUCCCCAGGGAAGGACACAAUUGGUGUACCCUAGGCUCACCAGACCUCUUCAUCUUUAAAAUGAAAAGUUAUGAAGUUAUGAAGUAUAGACUUCAAUUAAUAAAUUCAGAGAGGAUAAAGGAGGAAAAGUGGGAAUCUGAGGGGGUUUAGUUUUAAUUUUUUCUCUUUUGGUAACUACUACAUGCAGAGUGGAUCAUUUAUUUUUGAUUAUUUCUAAAAGAUUAAUCUAUUUCUUUAAAGUUAAUAUGCAAAGAAAUAUGUUCAACAUCGCUUUAUUUUUAGAUCCCACGAUUUAGUCUGAAACAAAUCACUGGUGCAUUAUAAACACACAAGAAUGUAUCUAAUGACAGGAGUCAGGCUGAACAGAUGCUAAAAAAGAUGCUUUGCAUGAAGUCGCGGGAACUGCAGGAGGGAAUGGAAAAAAAAAAAUCUCUAGAAGUUGGAGGGCUUGUGAGGUAAAUCCUGUGGAGACUUUUCACCCAUCCAAUCAGUGCUCCUGCAAUUCAGGGCAGAAGGGAGUCCAUUUACUUCUGCAUAAAAGUACAAAUGAUGACAUCGAGCCCCUAAAAUGGCUGUUAAGAUUAAGUGAGACCUUGGACCUGGGAAGACCUUGGCUAUUGACUAAUAAAGAGCUGAGUCAAUGUUAGGUUUAUCGGUCAAUCUUCGAAUAUUUAUAGAGUACCUACUGAUGUGGCAGCCCGGCAGCAUGCCGGAGCACAUAGCAGAUUCUCAGUGCAUUAGGUUGGGUCAAUAGUAAUAGAAUUCUUGCAAUGAACACUGACGCUACCAUUCCAGAAACCUUUUAAAGUGCUUUGCAUAGAUUAACUCAUUUCAUCAUCGAAAUAACCCUAGAGGUAGGCACUGUUGUCAGUUUUGCAUAUCACCUGUUACACAUGAGGGAGCUGAAGGACAGAGAGGUGAAGUGACUUCACUAAGAUCACACAGCCAGUAAGUGGUUCAGUCAGCAUUUGUAUCUAUCAGAUCUGGCCUCCGAGCCCAUGUUUCAAUGUUAAGCACCGUGCUGGGCUGCCUUCAGGUGGAUGACCUGAGGGGUGACAGAAAUCGAAGAUGAACUAGGAGUUCCCGUUGUGGUGCAGCGGAAAUGAAUCCCACUAGGAACCAUGAGGUUGCGGGUUCGAACCCUGGCCUUGCUCGGUGGGUUAAGGAUCUGGUGGUGUCGUGAGCUGUGGUGUAGGUCGAAGAUGCCACUCGGAUCCCGUGUUGCUGUGGCUGGGGCGUAGGCCGGCAGCUGUAGCUCUGAUUCAGCCCCUAGCUGGGAACCUCUGUACGCCUCGGGUGUGG